Molecule: ribosomal RNA, 424 nt
Filed under: uncultured bacterium
Lineage: Bacteria
Description: bacterial SSU rRNA
Rfam family: Bacterial small subunit ribosomal RNA
Source: RNAcentral
UGGGGAAUAUUGGACAAUGGGCGCAAGCCUGAUCCAGCAACGCCGCGUGGAGGAAGAAGGUCUUCGGAUCGUAAACUCCUGUCAGGUGGGACGAAAAGCCGUCGGCAAAUAGUCGGCGGUCUUGACGGUACCAUCAGAGGAAGCCACGGCUAACUACGUGCCAGCAGCCGCGGUAAUACGUAGGUGGCAAGCGUUGUCCGGAUUUAUUGGGUUUAAAGGGUGCGUAGGCGGCCUACUAAGGCAGUAGUGAAAUAUCACAGCUCAACUGUGAGGGUGCUAUUGAUACUGAUGGGCUUGAGUACAGAUGAGGUAGGCGGAAUUGACGGUGUAGCGGUGAAAUGCAUAGAUAUCGUCAAGAACACCGAUAGCGAAGGCAGCUUACUAAGUUGUAACUGACGCUGAUGCACGAAAGUGUGGGGAUCAA